Molecule: ribosomal RNA, 460 nt
Filed under: uncultured bacterium
Lineage: Bacteria
Description: partial 16S ribosomal RNA
Rfam family: Bacterial small subunit ribosomal RNA
Source: RNAcentral
CCUACGGGUGGCUGCAGUGAGGAAUAUUGGUCAAUGGACGAGAGUCUGACCCAGCCAAGUAGCGUGAAGGAUGACUGCCCUAUGGGUUUUAAACUUUUUUUAUAUGGGAAUAAAAUGUUCCACGUGUGGGAUUUUGUAUGUACCAUAUGAAUAUGGAUCGGCUAACUCCGUGCCAGCAGCCGCGGUAAUACGAAGGAUCCGAGCGUUAUCCGGAUUUAUUGGGUUUAAAGGGAGCGUAGGUGGAUUGGUAAGUCAGUUGUGAAAGUUUACGGCUCAACCGUAAAAUUGCAGUUGAAACUGGCAGUCUUGAGUACAGUAGAGGUAGGCGGAAUUCGUGGUGUAGCGGUGAAAUGCGUAGAUAUCACGAAGAACACCGGUUGCGAAGGCAGGUCACUGGACUGCAACUGACACUGAGGCUCGAAAGUGUGGGUAGCAAACAGGAUUAGAUACCCUUGUAGUC